AGAUUAAACAUAAGAGUUUGAUCCUGGCUCAGAUUGAACGCUGGCGGCAUGCUUUACACAUGCAAGUCGAACGGCAGCACGGAGAGCUUGCUCUCUGGUGGCGAGUGGCGAACGGGUGAGUAAUGCAUCGGAACGUACCGAGUAAUGGGGGAUAACUGUCCGAAAGGAUGGCUAAUACCGCAUACGCCCUGAGGGGGAAAGCGGGGGAUCUUAGGACCUCGCGUUAUUUGAGCGGCCGAUGUUGGAUUAGCUAGUUGGUGGGGUAAAGGCCUACCAAGGCGACGAUCCAUAGCGGGUCUGAGAGGAUGAUCCGCCACAUUGGGACUGAGACACGGCCCAAACUCCUACGGGAGGCAGCAGUGGGGAAUUUUGGACAAUGGGGGGAACCCUGAUCCAGCCAUGCCGCGUGUCUGAAGAAGGCCUUCGGGUUGUAAAGGACUUUUGUUAGGGAAGAAAAGCUGGGUGUUAAUACCAUC
Molecule: ribosomal RNA, 476 nt
Filed under: Snodgrassella alvi
Lineage: Bacteria; Pseudomonadati; Pseudomonadota; Betaproteobacteria; Neisseriales; Neisseriaceae
Description: bacterial SSU rRNA
Rfam family: Bacterial small subunit ribosomal RNA
Source: RNAcentral